RNAcentral lists this ribosomal RNA (741 nucleotides) under Triticum aestivum (bread wheat). Its description in RNAcentral is "partial small subunit ribosomal RNA". Lineage: Eukaryota; Viridiplantae; Streptophyta; Magnoliopsida; Poales; Poaceae. The record is from RNAcentral.
AUGGCAAUGAAGGAGAUGGUUCUGGAAGUCAGUCCCUUCGCCAAAAACUCAAAGCGUGCUGCUAAUCGCCAGCCACGCCCAAAACGUAGUGUUGAGCAGGGAGAGGAAGUUGAGGCCAGCGGCGAAGGAGUUGAGGUGGCUGCCCGGGAAUAUGUGGAGCGACCAUCACAACCUGGCAGGUUAAGGGCAUCACCAGGGCGGUUUGCAAAGUUCAACAGCUCGCUAUCCCCGCCGCAAAAGUCUGAGCUAGUUUCAAGGUUGUUUGGGGGCCUCUUGAACUUAUCAGAUACACUUCCAGGGGACUUCGGUAAAUUCCUGGUGCAGUCCUACCAGCCAGAGACCUCUGAAAUGGUGUUCCUAGGCAGGGAAAGUAUCUGUGUCGAUGCUGACAGUGUUCAAAGGGUAUUUGAUCUUCCUAACAGGGGUCAAAAAGUCAGAUAUAAAGUUGACAAGGAUACAACUAGGAGAUUCAGAGAGACUUUCAACAUACGUGGAGAUUCUCAUCCCCAGGUCAUAACAUGGACCAAGAUGAUUAAGGAUAUGGGGAUCCUGUACCUUGACACGCUUGUUCAUGACAUCCUGGUAAACAACUGUGCGAUACGAUCGAAUGCAUGGGACAGUAACCUAAUUGCCAAGGUGAUCAAGAAGGACACGAUCUCUCCUGGUGUGUUCGGCAAAUUACAAAAAAAGGCAAAGAUUGCCAAAGUGGUCGAUGACUUGUGCAAGGCAGUAACUAAAUAG